This 460-nucleotide ribosomal RNA is filed under the name uncultured bacterium. Its description in RNAcentral is "partial 16S ribosomal RNA". It matches the Rfam family "Bacterial small subunit ribosomal RNA", at positions 338 to 795 of the family's 1533-position model. The record is from RNAcentral.
CCUACGGGUGGCAGCAGUGAGGAAUAUUGGUCACUGGGCGCGAGCCUGAACCAGCCAAGUAGCGUGAAGGAUGACUGCCCUACGGGUUGUAAACUUCUUUUAUAAAGGAAUAAAGUGAGGCACGUGUGCCUUUUUGUAUGUACUUUAUGAAUAAGGAUCGGCUAACUCCGUGCCAGCAGCCGCGGUAAUACGGAGGGUCCGAGCGUUAUCCGGAUUUAUUGGGUUUAAAGGGAGCGUAGAUGGGUUGUUAAGUCAGUUGUGAAAGUUUGCGGCGCAACCGUAAAAUUGCAAUUGAUACUGGAAGUCUUGAGUACAGUUGAGGUAGGCGGAAUUCGUGGUGUAGCGGUGAAAUGCUUAGAUAUCACGAAGAACUCCGAUGGCGAAGGCAGCUUACUAAACUGCCACUGACACUGAGGCUCGAAAGUGUGGGUAUCAAACAGGAUUAGAUACCCCAGUAGUC